AAAUUUAAAAUUCAAAAUUCAAAAUUUAAAAUUCAAAGAUUGGAAAUUCGAAACUUGAAAUUUGGUUGAAAUCUCAAAUUUGAAAUUUGAAAUUUGAAAUUUGAAAUUUAAAAUUUGAAAUUCAAAAUUUAAAUUUUGAAAUUGGUAUAUUUAGAUAUACUUGAUCCAAGUAGCAAGUAAUCUAAUUGGGUUGGUUGCCAUGGCCGUCCGGUCAUAGGAGAAAAGUAGGGUUUAAAGGCCCUCUCUUCCUAUUCGAUGGGGUCUCCUAUGGCAGUAGGGGUGCCGAUGCAAUUAUAUCCCAUGCCGAUGAAGCAGCAAAAAGACUUAAUUAUAAAAUUUAUCAUGAAUGUAUUAGAUUAGAUCUAAAA
This 368-nucleotide long non-coding RNA is filed under the name Elaeis guineensis (African oil palm). Its description in RNAcentral is "long non-coding RNA (EGUI_LNC063929)". The record is from RNAcentral. Lineage: Eukaryota; Viridiplantae; Streptophyta; Magnoliopsida; Arecales; Arecaceae.